AUAAAUUGGAGCUUUGGGAUCGUUCCUUCAACGCUCACCAUAUGUUUCUUCUUCUUUAACUUCCUCUAUCUCCUUCUCCAUCGUUGAUUAGUGGUGGUGGUGGUGGUGGUGGAGAUGAUGGUGAGAUUAAACAAGGGACCUCAAAGAUCCCCAUCUCUAAGCGCCUUCACAGGAUCUUUCCAAUAUGGAUUAGGAAACACCACAAGCUCCAAUCGUCUGUGAGUCACUAAACGGAGAAGAAGAAGUUGUAAUUGAAGGAUGAAGUGAUUGAUCCAUUUUUUUGAUUUUUUCCUUGAGGAAGAACGAAGAACGUGAUCUUCUUC
This 323-nucleotide long non-coding RNA is filed under the name Capsella grandiflora. RNAcentral's name for it is "long non-coding RNA (CGRA_LNC000238)". Lineage: Eukaryota; Viridiplantae; Streptophyta; Magnoliopsida; Brassicales; Brassicaceae. The record is from RNAcentral.